This 260-nucleotide ribosomal RNA is filed under the name uncultured Glomus. RNAcentral describes it as "partial 18S ribosomal RNA". It matches the Rfam family "Eukaryotic small subunit ribosomal RNA", at positions 569 to 837 of the family's 1831-position model. The record is from RNAcentral. Lineage: Eukaryota; Fungi; Glomeromycota; Glomeromycetes; Glomerales; Glomeraceae.
AGCAGCCGCGGUAAUUCCAGCUCCAAUAGCGUAUAUUAAAGUUGCUGCAGUUAAAAAGCUCGUAGUUGAAUUUCGGGACCAAUAUGUCGGUCGUGCCUCGGUACGCACUGGCUUAUAGGUUUCUCCCUUCUGACGAACCAUGAUGUCAUUAAUUUGGUGUCUUGGGGAAUCAGGACUGUUACUUUGAAAAAUUAGAGUNUUUAAAGCAGGCUCACGCUUGAAUACAUUAGCAUGGAAUAAUGAAAUAGGACGUUUGAUUC